This 519-nucleotide ribosomal RNA is filed under the name Trichocladium asperum. RNAcentral's name for it is "eukaryotic LSU rRNA". The stretch from base 208 to 361 matches the Rfam family "5.8S ribosomal RNA". The record is from RNAcentral. Lineage: Eukaryota; Fungi; Ascomycota; Sordariomycetes; Sordariales; Chaetomiaceae.
AGUCGUAACAAGGUCUCCGUUGGUGAACCAGCGGAGGGAUCAUUAAAGAGUUGCAAAACUCCCAAACCAUUGUGAACAUACCUUCAACGUUGCUUCGGCGGGUUGGCCCCGGUCUCCGGGGUCCCCGGCCCUACUCGGGCGCCCGCCGGAGGUAUCUAACUCUUGAACUUUUAUGGCCUCUCUGAGUCUUUGUACUUAAUAAGUCAAAACUUUCAACAACGGAUCUCUUGGUUCUGGCAUCGAUGAAGAACGCAGCGAAAUGCGAUAAGUAAUGUGAAUUGCAGAAUUCAGUGAAUCAUCGAAUCUUUGAACGCACAUUGCGCCCGCCAGUAUUCUGGCGGGCAUGCCUGUUCGAGCGUCAUUUCAACCAUCAAGCCCCCGGCUUGUGUUGGGGACCUGCGGCUGCCGCAGGCCCUGAAAACCAGUGGCGGGCUCGCUAGUCACUCCGAGCGUAGUAAUACAUCUCGCUCAGGGCGUGCUGCGGGUUCCGGCCGUUAAAAAGCCUUAUUUACCCAAGGU